GUCUGUGGCCAUACCACCCUGAACACACCCAAUCUUGGAAGCUGAGCAGAGUUGUACCUGGUUAGUACUUGGAGGGGAGAAAUUGGAAUGGUGUAUGUUGGAGAUG
Molecule: ribosomal RNA, 106 nt
Filed under: Fukomys damarensis (Damara mole-rat)
Lineage: Eukaryota; Metazoa; Chordata; Mammalia; Rodentia; Bathyergidae
Source: RNAcentral